This 64-nucleotide transfer RNA is filed under the name Ghauriana sinensis. RNAcentral describes it as "tRNA-Gly". Lineage: Eukaryota; Metazoa; Arthropoda; Insecta; Hemiptera; Cicadellidae. The record is from RNAcentral.
AUUCAAUUAAUAUAAAUAGUAUAUUAAGCUUCCAACUUAAAAGUUCUUGUCAUAGAAUUGAAUA